RNAcentral lists this ribosomal RNA (763 nucleotides) under uncultured Streptococcus sp. RNAcentral's name for it is "bacterial SSU rRNA". It matches the Rfam family "Bacterial small subunit ribosomal RNA", at positions 28 to 776 of the family's 1533-position model. The record is from RNAcentral. Lineage: Bacteria; Bacillati; Bacillota; Bacilli; Lactobacillales; Streptococcaceae.
GACGAACGCGGGCGGCGUGCGUGAUACAUGCAAGUAGAACGCUGAAGGAGGAGCUUGCUCUUCUGGAUGAGUUGCGAACGGGUGAGUAACGCGUAGGUAACCUGCCUGGUAGCGGGGGAUAACUAUUGGAAACGAUAGCUAAUACCGCAUAAGAGUAGAUGUUGCAUGACAUUUACUUAAAAGGUGCAAUUGCAUCACUACCAGAUGGACCUGCGUUGUAUUAGCUAGUUGGUGGGGUAACGGCUCACCAAGGCGACGAUACAUAGCCGACCUGAGAGGGUGAUCGGCCACACUGGGACUGAGACACGGCCCAGACUCCUACGGGAGGCAGCAGUAGGGAAUCUUCGGCAAUGGACGGAAGUCUGACCGAGCAACGCCGCGUGAGUGAAGAAGGUUUUCGGAUCGUAAAGCUCUGUUGUAAGAGAAGAACGAGUGUGAGAGUGGAAAGUUCACACUGUGACGGUAUCUUACCAGAAAGGGACGGCUAACUACGUGCCAGCAGCCGCGGUAAUACGUAGGUCCCGAGCGUUGUCCGGAUUUAUUGGGCGUAAAGCGAGCGCAGGCGGUUAGAUAAGUCUGAAGUUAAAGGCUGUGGCUUAACCAUAGUACGCUUUGGAAACUGUUUAACUUGAGUGCAAGAGGGGAGAGUGGAAUUCCAUGUGUAGCGGUGAAAUGCGUAGAUAUAUGGAGGAACACCGGUGGCGAAAGCGGCUCUCUGGCUUGUAACUGACGCUGAGGCUCGAAAGCGUGGGGAGCAAACAGG